RNAcentral lists this long non-coding RNA (428 nucleotides) under Rattus norvegicus (Norway rat). RNAcentral's name for it is "long non-coding RNA NONRATT031154". The record is from RNAcentral. Lineage: Eukaryota; Metazoa; Chordata; Mammalia; Rodentia; Muridae.
GAUAAGAAGCCUCAGGAAGAGGUUGUGGUGGAUGGGGUUGAGAGAGAAAGUGAAGUCCCUCUGGUGGUCAGACCCAAAGUCAGGCCUCAGGCUCCAGCAACAAGUGGUGCUAGGCCCAAAACUGAAACUAAAUCUUCCUCUCGGGCAAGGCCUAAAACUGAAUCCCAGUCAGUGUCUGGAAGAAGGCCUAAAACUGAGGCUCAGUCAAUGACUGGAGCAAGGCCGAGAUUGGAGGCCCAAGUAAUGUCUGGUGCCAGGCCUAAAACUGAUGCGAGGGCAGUAGGUGGUGCCCGCCCUAAGACUGAGGCCAAGCCAAUCCCAGGAGCAAGGCCUAAGAAUGAUUCCCGGGCUUGGGCCCAGAGUGAGUUUGGAGCUGAGGCAAUGUCACAUGCUGAGAGAGCACCCUUACCUAAUGCCGUCACAUGGCC